RNAcentral lists this ribosomal RNA (429 nucleotides) under Acidobacteriota bacterium. Its description in RNAcentral is "Acidobacteria bacterium partial 16S ribosomal RNA". It matches the Rfam family "Bacterial small subunit ribosomal RNA", at positions 355 to 776 of the family's 1533-position model. The record is from RNAcentral. Lineage: Bacteria; Pseudomonadati; Acidobacteriota.
UGGGGAAUUUUGGACAAUGGGCGCAAGCCUGAUCCAGCCAUGCCGCGUGCGGGAAGAAGGCCUUCGGGUUGUAAACCGCUUUUGUCAGGGAAGAAAAGGUUCUGGUUAAUACCUGGGACUCAUGACGGUACCUGAAGAAUAAGCACCGGCUAACUACGUGCCAGCAGCCGCGGUAAUACGUAGGGUGCAAGCGUUAAUCGGAAUUACUGGGCGUAAAGCGUGCGCAGGCGGUUAUGCAAGACAGAGGUGAAAUCCCCGGGCUCAACCUGGGAACUGCCUUUGUGACUGCAUAGCUAGAGUACGGUAGAGGGGGAUGGAAUUCCGCGUGUAGCAGGGAAAUGCGUAGAUAUGCGGAGGAACACCGAUGGCGAAGGCAAUCCCCUGGACCUGUACUGACGCUCAUGCACGAAAGCGUGGGGAGCAAACAGG